Molecule: non-coding RNA, 1302 nt
Organism: Ictalurus punctatus (channel catfish)
Lineage: Eukaryota; Metazoa; Chordata; Actinopteri; Siluriformes; Ictaluridae
Source: the annotation of a RefSeq genome assembly
UGCAAAGACUCGUAUUAAUUCUGCUGCAUUUCCCCUUUUGCAGGCCAAAAAAUGUAACAAAUCUGUAAUAUUUGAAAUGAAGGUGCAAGCACAGUAAAAUUUAGUCAGAAUGCAGCAUGUGAAAGGAGGAGCUGAAAUGGUUUUGAUGUCAUUUCCUUCAUCUGAUCCUCAGCAGGAUGCUUUUGCAGCAGUCUCGUGUCCUCAUCCCCUCUCUUGCCAUUAUUAUGAAUCAAUAUGAUUAGUGUUAACAUCUUCCUGCCUUUCUUGCUUCUCUGGACUCCAGUUUUAGCAGGAGAGAAUGGAGCCAGCCAAAACCCCAGAGUCGCCUGGCAUCUGAAAGGAGAAUCUGCUGAAAUGAAGUGCAGUCAUAAUAAAGGUGCUAGCUAUUUUCAGAUGUACUGGUACAGACAGCGCCAAGGAGAGAGUAUGGAGCUCAUCGUGUACACAACGCCUAGUAGUGAACCAGACUUUGGCGCUGUUGAUAAAAAUAAAUUUUCAACUGUUAAAAAAAUUGCUGCAAAUGGAUCAUUAACUGUGAAGGAUCUGGAUACAGAGGACAGCGCUGUAUAUUUCUGUGCAGUAAGUGAACACAGUGUUACAGAUCACCUGCACUGCUGAACAAAAACACCUGCACUGAUAUUACUGCAAUAACUAAUACAACAGACAGAGGGAGUCCUCAUCUAUGUAAUGAAGUGAAUAAUGUUCUCAAAUGUACUGCAUCUAGCAUAAGCACACUUUUAAAAGUAAUUUCUCUAAAAAUCUGGUUUCUCCAAGCACAUGAUACAAUUAUCCAUCUUUUAACAACACUAUACAUGAAGAUAGUUUUUUUUUAGUAAACAUUCUGUGGGCGUAUUACAUUACAUUAUUACAUUAAUGCUAUAUUUGCUUACUUAAGUGUUUCAUUUCAUCAUUUUCUCUAUUGCAUUUAGUGUGCAUCCUUAUUUGCAUAACAAUCUUAUCAUGAAUAAAUCAUCUUUAUAACAUCAACAUUUUCUUUUCUUCUCUUUUCUUUUUUUUCUUUCUUUUCUUAUUUUUCUUUCUUUAUUUUUAUUUUUAUUUUUAUUUUUUUACAAUUUGGCAGGCGGGUGUAAAUUAAAUAAAAAUGCCUUAAUUGGAUGAAAUGUACAGGCCAGGCAAACAGACAACUCAUUCAGAAUGCAACAUGUGGAAGGUGGAGUUGAAAUGGUUUUGAUGUCACUUUAUUGUUAUAUACUAAGCUGUGCAGUGGAAAUAAACAGAUGACCUACAGAUGAUUUACACUCAGUUGUAAAAAUGUAGACAUUUGUAUUUACAUUUACUCAU